GAACGAAUUAAGUACUUAACCCGAGGUACCACUGUACUGGGAAAACAUAGCUUUAACUAUACGGACCUUUGUUGGCAAGGUGAUGUCUCUGCUUUUAAUACACCUAAACUGGGGGGAGGUGGAGUAGGUGUUAACGGGAAGGUUUGACAGGAACUCAAUUCUUGACAUGCCGUUUUCUUGAUUUCUCCUUCCAGUAUUCAGAAGGAUCUUGUUUAUGUGUGGCGGAGCGCUCAGCUACACAGGAAGUAUGAAGUGUUCUACCCUGGAAACACAGGCUUGCUGCCUCAACGAACAGCAGGAUGGCUGCUCAGAAGUGACACCCGCUGCCCCCCAAGUAAUGGCACAGGGUAGCAGCCGCGAUCUCUGCAAUUUAGGAACCUAGAAACACAUUGCAAAAAAUCAGUCCAUACAAAUUUGAUAAAGCUUGCUUCACACACACACACACAGGCCAUUACUGUAGGCGCUUGCCCCAACUUUUGCUACCCAGCUCUUAUUCAAAGUGCAAAACAUAAAAGAUUCCACAGAAUUUGCCUGUUCUGCAUUUCAAAGCCUAUUGAACAUAAGCACUUUUUUGUUUUGUUAAAAAUACACAUAUCUUACCAUCCCAUUAUUGUAUUUAUAUUUUAAAGACUGUUAAAGGCCACUAUUUAAAUGAAGUGCUCAGCAUCUCAUGAUGGCUCCUGUCGUGCUAUUACCCAGCCCUAUGAGUGUUUUCUGCAGCGAUCAAUCACAAGCUAGAAGACCAAUUGGAAAAUUUACAAAGAAUGAAUAUGUUUUAACCUAUUAUUUGUGGCAACUUUUUGUGUGCAAGAAUAAAUGGAAUUUAUUUAUUUUGAAGGCUUAUAUCCUGCUUUUUAUUCCUGGGAGGCUCUCAAGUCAACUGACAAAAGAUUCCCACAAUAAAAAUUAGCAUGCUAUUCUAAGGUAAUUGCCUCACAGUAUUUGGCUUUAAUUGUGAGGGCACGGAUAGAAAAGCUAGUUGACAGGGCUGUGGGACCACAUGCUCUGGAUCCUGUUUUGAAGAGUAGCAGCUCAUGGAGGUAUGAAUGAAGGCAAGAAUAAAACUGGUUGUGGGUUGAACAUUUUAAAAGCAAUGGAUAUAAUUUUGGAUUUAUGUUAUCAGAUAUUAAUUGGAUAUAUUUUUUCUGUGGCUUUCCUGAUAAAAGGAGGACUUUUUUACUUGAUUUUUACCAAAGGCCAAGGUAGUUCCAGAUACUGAGUGUUUCCCAAGAAGAUGGAAAAGGCAGCUGGACCAGCAGAGGAGCAAUGAGAGAAAUUUUCUACACAGCUCCUAUUCCCCAGUUGCUGAUGGAAAAACAAGAGCUAUCCAGGAGCAGAGAAACUAACUUCUAGC
Molecule: non-coding RNA, 1354 nt
Organism: Podarcis lilfordi (Lilford's wall lizard)
Lineage: Eukaryota; Metazoa; Chordata; Lepidosauria; Squamata; Lacertidae
Source: the annotation of a GenBank genome assembly